Molecule: ribosomal RNA, 426 nt
Filed under: uncultured bacterium
Lineage: Bacteria
Description: partial 16S ribosomal RNA
Rfam family: Bacterial small subunit ribosomal RNA
Source: RNAcentral
GUGAGGAAUAUUCCGCAAUGGGGGAAACCCUGACGGAGCAAUGCCGCGUGCAGGAUGAAGGCCUUCGGGUCGUAAACUGCUUUUAUUUGAGAAGAAUAUGACGGUAACAAAUGAAUAAGGGACGGCUAACUACGUGCCAGCAGCCGCGGUCAUACGUAGGUCCCAAGCGUUAUCCGGAGUGACUGGGCGUAAAGAGUUGCGUAGGCGGCUCAUUAAGCGGGCAAUGAAAACUAUCGGCUCAACCGGUAGCCUAUUGUCCGAACUGAUGAGCUCGAGAUUAUGAGAGGUAGCUGGAAUUUCUAGUGUAGCAGUGAAAUGCGUAGAUAUUAGAAAGAACACCAACGGCGUAGGCAGGCUACUGGCAUACAUCUGACGCUGAGGCACGAAAGCGUGGGGAGCGAACCGGAUUAGAUACCCCAGUAGUCC